GCGGGGUAGCGGACGCGCGCGGCUUGGAGGUUACUGGCUGGACCGCGGAGCGCCUGGCUCGCACCAGAUGAUGGAGCGGCUGACAGGAAGGGCGACACGCUGGGCACGCACCGGCUCAAGCCAGGCCUGGUCCCGAGCGCUGGUAUCCGAGCGUUUCGUAACCGUACUGAACCAGGUGGCUUCUAAACGGUCUGGUGGGAGGUUUUGGGUAAGCGAGGCACCUGGCGCGCAGUCAGUGGGAAAGGACGUGGAGGGUGGAUGUGGCCGAAGGAAAUGGAAAUACCUGUUUUUAAAGAAAUUUACAGCUGAGGCUGUACGCAGUUAAUCGGGUGCUUACUUAGCGCACCUGUAGCCCUGGGUGCCAUUCCCAGCAUAAA
Molecule: long non-coding RNA, 377 nt
Filed under: Rattus norvegicus (Norway rat)
Lineage: Eukaryota; Metazoa; Chordata; Mammalia; Rodentia; Muridae
Description: long non-coding RNA NONRATT029033
Source: RNAcentral